This 500-nucleotide ribosomal RNA is filed under the name uncultured bacterium. RNAcentral's name for it is "partial 16S ribosomal RNA". It matches the Rfam family "Bacterial small subunit ribosomal RNA", at positions 30 to 523 of the family's 1533-position model. The record is from RNAcentral.
AUUGAACGCUGGCGGCAGGCUUAACACAUGCAAGUCGAGCGGGGGAGGUAGCUUGCUACCGGACCUAGCGGCGGACGGGUGAGUAAUGCUUAGGAAUCUGCCUAUUAGUGGGGGACAACAUCUCGAAAGGGAUGCUAAUACCGCAUACGUCCUACGGGAGAAAGCAGGGGAUCUUCGGACCUUGCGCUAAUAGAUGAGCCUAAGUCGGAUUAGCUAGUUGGUGGGGUAAAGGCUUACCAAGGGGACGAUCUGUAGCGGGUCUGAGAGGAUGAUCCGCCACACUGGGACUGAGACACGGCCCAGACUCCUACGGGAGGCAGCAGUGGGGAAUAUUGGACAAUGGGGGGAACCCUGAUCUAGCCAUGCCGCGUGUGUGAAGAAGGCCUUAUGGUUGUAAAGCACUUUAAGCGAGGAGGAGGCUACUUUAGUUAAUACCUAGAGAUAGUGGACGUUACUCGCAGAAUAAGCACCGGCUAACUCUGUGCUAGCCGCCGCCGUAA